Molecule: ribosomal RNA, 421 nt
Filed under: uncultured bacterium
Lineage: Bacteria
Description: partial 16S ribosomal RNA
Rfam family: Bacterial small subunit ribosomal RNA
Source: RNAcentral
AAUAUUGGACAAUGGGGGCAACCCUGAUCCAGCCAUGCCGCUUGUGUUAAGAAGGUCUUCGGUUUGUAAAUCAUUUUAAGUUGGGGGGAAGGGCUUGAGGUUAAUACGUUGAAGUUUUAACUUUACCAACGGUAUAAGUACAGGUGAACUCUGUGCCAGCAUCCGCGGUAAUACAGAGGGUGCAAGCGUUAAUCGGAAUUACUGGGCGUAAAGCGCGCGUAGGUGGUUCAGUAAGAUGGGUGUGAAAUCCCCGGGCUUAACCUGGGAACUGCUUUCAUAACUGCUGAGCUAGAGUACGGUAGAGGGUAGUGGAAUUUCCUGUGUAGCGGUGAAAUGCGUAGAUAUAGGAAGGAACACCAGUGGCGAAGGCGACUACCUGGACUGAUACUGACACUGAGGUGCGAAAGCGUGGGGAGCAAAC